This is a long non-coding RNA of Alnus glutinosa, 1101 nucleotides long. RefSeq lists it as uncharacterized. Lineage: Eukaryota; Viridiplantae; Streptophyta; Magnoliopsida; Fagales; Betulaceae. The record is from RefSeq and is a predicted model, not a curated record. The transcript has 2 exons.
AACAAAAUAAUUGUAUUAUUUAAAUUCUGCAUUUACAUUAUUUUAUGGAAUAAUUUUUUUCUUAAUUGAGUUUUCAUUUCAUUAACAAAAUAAUUAUAUUUUUUAAAUUCCAUAUUAACAUUAUUUUAUUACACGUUGCAGACGCACGGUUAAUUUAAAAGUUCUUUAUUUUUCGUUCUUCAUCUCUGCAACUACUACCUCUCCGAAAAUCUCCCACCCUCCAUUUUCAACCUCACGAAUCUUCAAGUCCUCAACGUCGCUCACAACCUCCUCUCCGGGAAAGUCCCUGACGACGCUCAUGAGCUUCAGUAUCUCUAGCUGGACUCGAACCUGUUGUACGGUACCCUGCCCUCGGCUCUCGCAAACUGUUCCUCGCCCGUACAUCUCAGCGAAGAAGACAAUGCGAUAAGAGGCAUCAUCCCGGCAACCAUCGGAGCGAUUUGGAAGCAUCAGAGCCAUUACUGGAUCGGUGUAUUUUCCAGUUCCUUCUCAAAGGGCGUAAGAGAGGAUUGAAGAAGAUGAUGAUGAGGGUGAACCAGUGAAAAUGUUUUUUUUUAUAUUGGGCCGGUCUGAACUGUCUUGGUUAUUUUAUGUCUUUAUUUCAGAUGUUUCUUCAUGGACUUUGACAAUGGAGGAUUAUCCGUAUUGUAUCGGUCCUCGAGCGGCACCGAUACAAAUCUCUAGCCUUUGCUUCCAUGACAACGGAGGGAUUAUACGUGCUGUAAAGAUGAUCACGAAGCGUUCUGUUGGCCAUGAAGUCAUACACAAUGAUCAUGUGCGGCUCUUCGUUGCAGUAACCGAUCAUGGCUGCUGAAGCCGUUGCAGAAGCCCGUAACCAGUUCUCAAGUUCCCAGACCAAGUUCAUCCGGAGGUAGUGUAUGCUAGAAGGCUCAGCCGUCAUGAGUUUCAGAAGACUGAGCAGGCUAGAGGAGCAAGUCUACAACCUGACUCACUGCUCAUUUGACUGCAAAAAUAUUGCUGAGAAGUUCUAGAUUGCCUAGGACAAGUCUGAGAAAGUGCUCUCGGUUGAGAUGAUGAACUAACAUACACUAAUUUGAAUUGUGAUUCUUUUUCCUCAAUUACGUUUUUCCUUUUCUUUUU